RNAcentral lists this long non-coding RNA (5310 nucleotides) under Sus scrofa (pig). Its description in RNAcentral is "lncRNA (ENSSSCG00000059575.1)". Lineage: Eukaryota; Metazoa; Chordata; Mammalia; Artiodactyla; Suidae. The record is from RNAcentral.
AAGUGGUUGAAUUGUUUAUCAGCUCUGUUUAUGGACCUUUGGUGUUCAGGAAGCACAGGCAAGAACUUGGAAAGAUCAACAUGACCCGUGAAUCAGAAUUCUGGAAGAUGGGAAUUCUCAUUGUGGCUCAGCGGGCCAAGAACCCAAAUGUUAUCCAAGAAGAUUCAAGUUUGAUUCUUGGUCUCACUCAGUGGGUUAAAGAUUUGGCAUUGCCGUGGCUGUGGUGUAGGCCUGUAGCUGCAGCUCCAAUUUGACCCUUAGCCUGGGAACUUCUGAAUGCUGCAGGUGGGGCCCUAAAAAGGAAAACAAAAAAAGAAUUCAGAAAGACCACCUGUCAAAUGGCAUUUAUAGUUUGCUCCCUGAACUUUCAGAAGAAGCAACUGAGUUGAUUAAUAAAAGAGGAUACAUAAUUCAUAGUUACUCGUUGCUACUGAUGAAGGCCAUAUGUCUAGUAAGGACUAAACUAAGCUAAUCAGAAAAGAAAGUGCCAACAUCCUAAAUUAUGGCUCUGUUGGUAGUUCUUUGAUUUCUGCUAAUUAUUAAUUUUAAUAGACCUAGUAUUUGGGUUGCACAUGUCAGCAAGUGAAUUUAUUAGUGGAGCUUGUUACUUGGGUAAAGUGCUAGCUUUGCUAAAUGGAAACAGUUCAUUUACUCUUUGCCCCUGAAGAACCCACCACUUCAAAAAGAUGAGAAAACAGUCAAUAGAACUGCAUUCCCUUAUAUGGCAAACGCUUUCAUUGCAACAGGUAGUCAGCCUUUUACUUGUGCCAUCAAUAUAGUCACUGUGAUGGUCAGUGUGUGCAUAGUGACCUCUAUUCUGGUCUCGUCACUUUCAAAUCCAUGCGUUAUGAAAGGGGGAAGAUGGUAUGAAGCAAUAAGGUCCUUAGAUAAGAAAUCUAUGUGGAAAGAAUAGUAAAUUACCUCCCAAAGGCAAGCAGCUAGCCUACCAGCAAGCAAAAGGCAAUAAUAUAUUAGAUCUGGAAAGAAUAACUUAGAGAAGAGGUGAUAGGGUAGACAAAGGAGAGGCAUGCAAGUUAGAAGUGGGUUCAAGUUGCAGCUCUGCCAAUUUCUCUCUGUGUGACCUUGGACAAGUUCAUAUAAGGAAUUUGUUGGACUUAACAAUCUCAAAGGGGCUUUUCCUCUCUCAUAAGGUCAUCAAGAGCAGCAUGCUACCUUAGAGAUGGCUUUUUCAGCCAAUUUUUGAAUGCUUUCCAGAUGUGGCAAGAGUCACUGGUGCUCCCCAGUAUCUGUAGUCUUUGCCUCCAGGCACACAUCUAGACCUAAUUUCUCAGUCUCCUUAUGUAGCCAAGACUCUAAGUUCUCGCCAAUAGAAAUAUGAAGAUAAAUGAUGUACAGCUUCCAGGCCUGGCUCAUAAAACCCUCCACUUCACCCCCUGCUAUAUUUCCCCAUCAUGUGGCUGAAUGAAAAACACGUCAAGGGUUUAGGGAAGAGCAGAACCCUGAGAUGGAAGGAGCCUGGGUCCCUGGAUAACUAAAGGGAUAUGAGUUACUCCAAUCUCCAUUGUAUUGUAACAUGAUCAAGAAAUAAUGUUUUGUUGUGAACCCAUUGAAAAGUUGGGGUUGUGUAUUAUAGCAAUCAUUCAACCCUGAUUAUUAGUGUUAAGAUAUGAGAAACUCACUACUUUGUAAGCCAGCUCUACUCAUUAGUGAGUUCUUUUCUUAUAUCUGUAUUCUUAUGUAUUAUUAAAUAUAACUUAAUAUGUUAUUAGUUAUAUUAUCAUCAUAGUAAAUAAUUAAACAGCAUUUAUACACUAUCCUAUUAACUUGACAUAUUUUAACUUAUUCAAUCCUCAGAAAAACUCUAUAAGCUGGUUCUGUUAUUAUCCACAUUUUGCAAAUAAGGGAAUUAAAACACAGAGAGGUUAAGUUACUUACCCAAGGCAACACAGCUAGUACAGACCAAAAAUCUAUCUUAAUAGAGUCUUACAAAAUUAUGCUGUUCAGACAUUGUUAUUUCUGUCAAUUAAUAAAUGAGGAAUGUGUCAAUUAGGAUGUUUCUUACUGGGGAAUUAUAAGAAACCUGACUCAAACCCAAGUGAUAAUGAAGGGUUCAUAUAACUAGAAAGCCUGGAAGUUGCUCUUUCUGGCUUUGGGCACUAUUCAAGCCAGGGCCACAAAAGAUAUCACCAGGACCAGUCUCACUCACACCCUUGGCUCACUUCUUCUUUGGAUUGGCUUUUUUACAGAACUUAUGGGAUCCAUACAACUGCUGGCAGCUCCAGACCAUAUAUCCUCUAGUUUUCCCAAACUAGGAGAGAUAAGAACACUUCUCAUUUCCCUAUAGUGAAAAGAAAAGUCCCAUUGGAUUGGUCCUUACUCUCAAUCUUGGACCAAUCACUGUAGUCAAGGGAUUCUAGUACCUGACUGGCCAGGCUAAAUCACAUGUUCAAACUGAGAGCCAGAGGUCUGGGUCAAUUCUACCAGAAGCACAUGACUGAGAAUAGAGAAGAGAUUGGUUACAAGAGGAAAAUGUGCUGAUGUUACUAAAAGAAGGCAGCCAAAGUAUAGUGAAUGGCCUUUACAGGGAACCCAAAUUCCAGAGAAGUUAACGGACUUACCUGAAGUCGCGCAACUAGUAAAUGCAAUGAAAUAACCUAUAUGUAAUGAUUCUGUGUUAUCAUCUCUGCAUCUUCACCUCCUGGUAGAGUAAAACUGGCAGAGCCACUUUUUGAAUGAAGAAAGGAAUGACUAUUAUAUGUUUGAGAAUUGAGCCCAUGUUUUCUUAAUUCUCUUACUACUGGGUAUCUCCAGAGUCUGCAUAACAUAGCACCUCUUUCACUGUUGCGAAGAUGAAUAAGCAAUUAUUGUUUACUGAAAAAAGUGGCUUUGAGUCGCUCAAGGGGAAUGUUGCUUUGAGUGUUGGGACAGCUGCCUCUACUUUGGCUUUCUCUCCCCUGGAUACAGUUCUCACCAUUUCUUGAUUAACUCUUAUCAGCAAGACUAGAGAAUUCAGCAGAAUGUUGGCAUUGCUGAUUAGUCCUGUCUACCGUGAUAUGAAGCUGACAAAUCCUUCUUUGAAGAGUAGUUCAUGGCUGGUAGUAUUGGAACUGAAAAUAUGAUGCAGUGUGAAGUACUGUACUUGGGAAUCUCAAUCAAACUUGUGAUGAUGGGAAUAGAUUUACAUUUACAGCUUUCAAGUACAAAGCAGCAUUAAUGCACUCUUUUUGAACUAACAUUAUGCCUGGGGUUUAAUUUCCAAGUGAGAUUUUGCCACACAAUUAUUUUCUCAGAAGCUGUUAAGUAGAAAUUAAGGAAGAUGUGGAGCUCAAAUGUGGUUUAGAAUUUUGCAAGGCCCUUGGUCAUGCCUUUCUCAUAUGUCCCUUUCUGUCCUCAGAAAGUAGGCAAUUCUUCUGCUGAAUUUUUGUUCCUUCAGAAGGCCAUAAAGGAAAAGGGAGAGCUCAGAUUCAGUGUGUGGCCAGGUUGCAUCUAUUUUACCUCUACAUAUCUGUUACAUCCAUCCCCUGCUUGUUUCUAAUUCUCACUGCCUUCAACAGAUGUCAUGCUUUACUGUGGCUUAAUAUAAUAAAACCUUACUUUCGGAGUCCUUGUUGUGGCUCAGUGGGUUGAAAACCUGGCCAGUGUCCAUGAGAAUCAGGAUUAGAUCCCUGCCGUUACUCAUUGGGUUAAGGAUCUGGCAUUUCCAUGAGCUGUGAUGUAGGUCACAGAUGUGGCUUGAAUCUGGUAUUGCUGUGGCUGGUGGUGUAAAGCGACAGCUACAGCUCUCCUUCAGCUCCUAGCCUGGGAACUUCCAAAUGUUGCAACUGUGGCCCUAAAAAGCAAAGAAAAAAAUUUUAAAUUUAAAAAGCCCACCAAAACCUUACUUCCUACUCAUGUCGUAGGUCAGUAUAGGUUGCAGGAAAGUUCUGUUCCAUACAAUCAUUCAGGGAUCCAGGUUUUUUCCAUUGUGUGACUCCACCAUCAUACAGGGCCUUGUUCUCUGCCUGUAGCUAAGAAGAUGGGGAGAGAGAAUGAGAGAUUCUCAUGGGAGUUUUUCAGGGGUCAAACCUGGAAGUAAUGUGCAUCAUUCCCAUCUUCAUUGUAUAAGGACUCAGUCACGUGGACUUCACAUAAAGGGAAGCUGAAAAAUGUAGGCUUGCUGUGCCCAGGACAAAAGGAAACUCCUUUGCCAUGCUUGGAAUAUUGCCACAAUCUCCAAACUAAAUGGUCUCUUAAUAUACAGGCUAGCCACACUGUCACAAGAGGUAUCUAAAAUAUGUCGUCUUGUUGUUCUCCAGCUGUUUUAGUAAUUGCUCUCCAGUUAUAAAAGAAAAACAAGAUUAUCUAGGAUGGCACACAGAAACCUUCUUUCUCUUGCCUUGUUUCUCUGGCCUGUUUUUUCAUAGGGCCCUCCGUUACAGCUGGUGCCCCAACUCCUCUCAAUUUCUUGUGGUUCCAGAACACACAAGACUGAUUUUUCUUUCUUUCUUUUUUUAAUAUAUAUAAUGAUUUUUAUUUUUUUCUAUUAUAGAUGGUUUUUCAUUUCCCACAUUUGCAUUUGCUGCUUCCUGUCUUUGAACUGGGCUAGUUGUUGGUUAAGAAACCUCAUGUUUUGGUUGCAUGUGUCAGUAAGUGAAGAUAUUAAUGGGGCUCGGUUUCUUUUACUGAAUGGAAACACAUUCAUUUACUCAUUGUCAUUGAAGAACCCACCAUUUAAAGCAAGAAAAUGUUAAAAAAAAAAAAGUCUCUCUGUUCCACCUGCUGAUUGAAUAGCCAUCUAUACUUUCAAGAUUCAGUUAAACUCCUUAGAGCAGCCCCUGAAGUAACCACUCAUGCCUUUUUUUUUUUUUUUUAAAUCUUAAGCAUAAUACUGUUUAGCAGCAUGAUGGCAUAAUCUUAAGAGUGAAGGAGUCAGUUUCCGGGUUUGAAUUUGAAUCUCAACUCAAUACUAGCUCUGUGAGCUUGAGAAAGUUACUGAACAUUUCUAAGCUUUUGUUUGCUCACAUGAAUAGAGCCAACUGUAUGCUGUUAGCAUCUUUGUACUUGGAAUAUAAUAAACACUCAAUAAAUAAUAGAUAUUAAUGUUACUUUUGUUGUCCCAUAGUUGUCUCACAUUAAAGAUUCUAAGUGAGGGGUUCCCAUCGUGGUGCAGCAGAAAGGAAUCCAACUAGGAACCAUGAGGUUUGGGUUCGAUCCCUGGCCUCGCUCAGUGGGUUAAGGAGCGAGGUGUUUCUGUGAGCUGUGGUGUAGGUCACAGACAUGGCUCAGAUCUGGCAUUGCUGUGGCUGUGGUGUAGGCUGGCAGCUAUACCUCCAAUUCAACCUCUAGCCUGGGAACCUCCAUAUGCUGUGG